UGACAUUAGCUAGUUGGUAAGGUAACGGCUUACCAAGGCUACGAUGUCUAGGGGCUCUGAGAGGAGAAUCCCCCACACUGGUACUGAGACACGGACCAGACUCCUACGGGAGGCAGCAGUAAGGAAUAUUGGUCAAUGGACGGAAGUCUGAACCAGCCAUGCCGCGUGCAGGAGGACGGCCCUAUGGGUUGUAAACUGCUUUUAUACGGGAACAAACGUCGGUACGUGUACCGGUCUGAGUGUACCGUAAGAAUAAGGAUCGGCUAACUCCGUGCCAGCAGCCGCGGUAAUACGGAGGAUCCGAGCGUUAUCCGGAAUUAUUGGGUUUAAAGGGUGCGUAGGCGGCCAGAUAAGUCAGGGGUGAAAGUCGGCAGCUCAACUGUCGCAGUGCCUUUGAUACUGUUUGGCUUGAAUUCGGUUGAAGAUGGCGGAAUGAGACAAGUAGCGGUGAAAUGCAUAGAUAUGUCUCAGAACCCCGAUUGCGAAGGCAGCUAUCUAAGCCGUUAUUGACGCUGAUGCACGAAAGCGUGGGUAGCAAACAGGAUUAGAUACCCUGGUAGUCCACGCCCUAAACGAUGAUAACUCGAUGUUGGCGAUAUACAGUCAGCGUCUUAGCGAAAGCGUUAAGUAUCCAC
This 635-nucleotide ribosomal RNA is filed under the name uncultured Bacteroidota bacterium. RNAcentral describes it as "bacterial SSU rRNA". It matches the Rfam family "Bacterial small subunit ribosomal RNA", at positions 236 to 872 of the family's 1533-position model. The record is from RNAcentral. Lineage: Bacteria; Pseudomonadati; Bacteroidota.